GACGAACGCUGGCGGCGUGCUUAACACAUGCAAGUCGAACGGAAAGGCCCUGCUUUUGUGGGGUGCUCGAGUAGCGAGCGGGUGAGUAACACGUGAGUAACCUGCCCUUGACUUUCGGAUAACUUCAGGAAACUGGGGCUAAUACCGGAUAGGAGCUCCUGCAGCAUGGUGGGGGUUGGAAAGUUUCGGCGGUUGGGGAUGGACUCGCGGCUUAUCAGCUUGUUGGUGGGGUAGUGGCUUACCAAGGCUUUGACGGGUAGCCGGCCUGAGAGGGUGACCGGCCACAUUGGGACUGAGAUACGGCCCAGACUCCUACGGGAGGCAGCAGUGGGGAAUAUUGUACAAUGGGCGGAAGCCUGAUGCAGCAACGCCGCGUGCGGGAUGACGGCCUUCGGGUUGUAAACCGCUUUCGCCUGUGACGAAGCGUGAGUGACGGUAAUGGGUAAAGAAGCACCGGCUAACUACGUG
RNAcentral lists this ribosomal RNA (468 nucleotides) under uncultured bacterium. Its description in RNAcentral is "partial 16S ribosomal RNA". It matches the Rfam family "Bacterial small subunit ribosomal RNA", at positions 28 to 507 of the family's 1533-position model. The record is from RNAcentral.